AGAUCAAGCUUGCUUUGGUCUGGUGAGAGUGGCGCACAGGUGCGUAACGCGUGAGCAACCUACCCUUGUCAGGGGGAUAGCCCGGCGAAAGUCGGAUUAAUACCGCAUGACAUCAUUGAGAGGCAUCUUUCUAUGAUCAAAGAUUUAUCGGACAAGGAUGGGCUCGCGUGACAUUAGCUAGUUGGUAAGGUAACGGCUUACCAAGGCUACGAUGUCUAGGGGCUCUGAGAGGAGAAUCCCCCACACUGGUACUGAGACACGGACCAGACUCCUACGGGAGGCAGCAGUAAGGAAUAUUGGUCAAUGGACGGAAGUCUGAACCAGCCAUGCCGCGUGCAGGAGGACGGCCCUAUGGGUUGUAAACUGCUUUUAUACGGGAACAAACGUCGGUACGUGUACCGGUCUGAGUGUACCGUAAGAAUAAGGAUCGGCUAACUCCGUGCCAGCAGCCGCGGUAAUACGGAGGAUCCGAGCGUUAUCCGGAAUUAUUGGGUUUAAAGGGUGCGUAGGCGGCCAGAUAAGUCAGGGGUGAAAGUCGGCAGCUCAACUGUCGCAGUGCCUUUGAUACUGUUUGGCUUGAAUUCGGUUGAAGAUGGCGGAAUGAGACAAGUAGCGGUGAAAUGCAUAGAUAUGUCUCAGAACACCGAUUGCGAAGGCAUUAUCUAAGCCGUUAUUGACGCUGAUGCA
This 687-nucleotide ribosomal RNA is filed under the name uncultured bacterium. Its description in RNAcentral is "bacterial SSU rRNA". It matches the Rfam family "Bacterial small subunit ribosomal RNA", at positions 71 to 753 of the family's 1533-position model. The record is from RNAcentral.